CACGCAGGUGGUGAGAAUAGUUGGAUGUGAAAGCCCGGAGCUUAACUUCGGAAAUGCAUCCAAUACUGUCUCGCUGGAGUCCGGAAGAGGAGAGUGGAAUUCCCAGUGUAGAGGUGAAAUUCGUAGAUAUUGGGAAGAACACCAGUGGCGAAGGCGGCUCUCUGGUCCGGUACUGACACUCAAGUGCGAAAGCGUGGGGAGCAAACA
RNAcentral lists this ribosomal RNA (207 nucleotides) under uncultured bacterium. RNAcentral describes it as "partial 16S ribosomal RNA". It matches the Rfam family "Bacterial small subunit ribosomal RNA", at positions 568 to 774 of the family's 1533-position model. The record is from RNAcentral.